RNAcentral lists this transfer RNA (75 nucleotides) under bacterium. Its description in RNAcentral is "tRNA-Asn". It matches the Rfam family "tRNA". Rfam says of the family: Transfer RNA (tRNA) molecules are approximately 80 nucleotides in length. Their secondary structure includes four short double-helical elements and three loops (D, anti-codon, and T loops). Further hydrogen bonds mediate the characteristic L-shaped molecular structure. tRNAs have two regions of fundamental functional importance: the anti-codon, which is responsible for specific mRNA codon recognition, and the 3' end, to which the tRNAs corresponding amino acid is attached (by aminoacyl-tRNA synthetases). tRNAs cope with the degeneracy of the genetic code in two manners: having more than one tRNA (with a specific anti-codon) for a particular amino acid; and 'wobble' base-pairing, i.e. permitting non-standard base-pairing at the 3rd anti-codon position. RNAcentral also lists the same sequence under 3 other names. The record is from RNAcentral.
UCCUCAGUAGCUCAAUGGCAGAGCACCCGGCUGUUAACCGGGUUGUUGUAGGUUCGAGCCCUACCUGGGGAGCCA